AAGAACCCACCAGGGAUUGCCCUAGUAACGGCGAGUGAAGCGGCAACAGCUCAAAUUUGAAAUCUGGCUCUUUUAGAGUCCGAGUUGUAAUUUGCAGAGGGCGCUUUGGCUUUGGCAGCGGUCCAAGUUCCUUGGAACAGGACGUCACAGAGGGUGAGAAUCCCGUACGUGGUCGCUGGCUAUUGCCGUGUAAAGCCCCUUCGACGAGUCGAGUUGUUUGGGAAUGCAGCUCUAAAUGGGAGGUACAUUUCUUCUAAAGCUAAAUAUUGGCCAGAGACCGAUAGCGCACAAGUAGAGUGAUCGAAAGAUGAAAAGCACUUUGGAAAGAGAGUCAAACAGCACGUGAAAUUGUUGAAAGGGAAGCGCUUGCAGCCAGACUUGCUUACAGUUGCUCAUCCGGGUUUCUACCCGGUGCACUCUUCUGUAGGCAGGCCAGCAUCAGUUUGGGCGGUAGGAUAAAGGUCUCUGUCACGUACCUCCUUUCGGGGAGGCCUUAUAGGGGAGACGACAUACUACCAGCCUGGACUGAGGUCCGCGCAUCUGCUAGGAUGCUGGCGUAAUGGCUGUAAGCGGCCCGUCUUGAAACACGGACCAAGGAGUCUAACAUCUAUGCGAGUGUUUGGGUGUCAAGCCCGAGCGCGUAAUGAAAGUGAACGGAGGUGGGAACCCGCAAGGGUGCACCAUCGACCGAUCCUGAUGUCUUCGGAAGGAUUUGAGUAAGAGCAUGGCUGUUGGGACCCGAAAGAUGGUGAACUAUGCUUGAAUAGGGUGAAGCCAGAGGAAACUCUGGUGGAGGCUCGCAGCGGUUCUGACGUGCAAAUCGAUCGUCAAAUUUGGGCAUAGGGGCGAAAGACUAAUCG
This 860-nucleotide ribosomal RNA is filed under the name Alternaria alternata. RNAcentral describes it as "partial large subunit ribosomal RNA". It matches the Rfam family "Eukaryotic large subunit ribosomal RNA", at positions 59 to 937 of the family's 3401-position model. Lineage: Eukaryota; Fungi; Ascomycota; Dothideomycetes; Pleosporales; Pleosporaceae. The record is from RNAcentral. RNAcentral also lists the same sequence under 1 other name.